RNAcentral lists this ribosomal RNA (111 nucleotides) under Caerostris darwini. Lineage: Eukaryota; Metazoa; Arthropoda; Arachnida; Araneae; Araneidae. The record is from RNAcentral.
ACAGCCAUACCAUGCUAAAUAUACCGGUUCUCGUUAGAUCACCGAAGUCAAGCAUCAUUGGGCGCGGUCAGUAUUUGGGUGGGUGACCACCUGGGAACACCGCGUGAUGUU